GUGCUCUCAUUGAUAAAUUAAUAAAAGAGUCGAACAAGUUUGUUCAUAUUGCGUGUUUGUUUAUUCGAUCAAGGGCCUGAUUUCCAACAAUUGGUAUCAGAGCUUGGCGGUUUUGAGAGUCGUUUUCAAGAAAGGGGGAGCCGCCCCUCGCGGGGCUGCUGGUGGCGGAACGGGUAGCUAUUGAAGACGAAAUAGCUGAAAAAAGUGCAUCCGUAAAGGAAAAGAUAAAAAGAGAAUAAACGAACUAAUGGGUUCGUUGCUACAAUUAAAUGGAUGGCAAUUUGCCCAAACAGCAGAAACAUUAGUUGAGGUAAUUUUUUGUUCGGCUUAAACUUUUGCAUGGAUAAGGCAAAGCAGGAGGAUUAUUUUUAUUGUUGUUUGAGGAAUAAAUUUGGAGCAAAUUACGAUGGCCCCGUAGUAGAGAUCGAGGAGAUGGUCGAGUACAACGGGACAAGAGCCUAGGGCUCGUAGAAAGCGGCUUUGAAGAUCGGAGGAAGUCUCCGCCCCCGGCGGGUGUGCCGGGUCGGUGGAGGGUAGGCGUAAAAGAAUGUGUUGUUUCAGGGUUGUUUAACAGCGGAAGACGAAGACGUUAAGGUGUUCAGUUUAGCCGUUGUUGCGGGUAAGAACCGGUUGAGAUGACGGGGGUGACCGUGAUGAACAUCGGUGUUCGUGGCUGUUAGCGAUGUUUAAAGGAAGAAGAUGCUAGGCUGUUCGGUUGUUAGUUGCGGGUUUGCGCGGCUGGUAUAUAACUGGUGAUAACAGUAGAUGUUGAGAACGGGUGCCUUGAUCGUGUUGUUUCGUGAUAAGAGGAGACCGGCGUGUUGCGUGAUAAACGGGCAGAAAAAUCCGUCAAAGCAGGUGUGCUUUGGAUUGCUUCGUUUGGCAAGGUGAGAAAACGGAAGAAGCGGAUGGCUUGUUUUCUUGGUCGGUGGAGAGGCCUCUUGGAACAAGUUUGAUCGGGAAAAGGUACGGGUGUCAAGAUAAUGGCGUUGGAGUUCAAAUCGGGUGACUCGGAUGUGACCGGGGAGAGGUCGUCAAUCCGUGAUGAGUCAAGAUGUUAGUGAACGUGUGUCCAACGGGAUGCCAUAAGGCUUUGGGCAUGACCGUGGCUGCGGUCGGGAGUCCGGUAGAAGUCGAGAUGGUUCGGGAAAAAAAGGGGUGAUUCGGUCAUGAGCGGUUACGGGAUAAAAGUCACGUGAAAUGUUAUAAGUGCGGAGAAUAUGGUCAUUAUAACAACGAGUGUCCAAAGUUGAAAGAUGAAGAGGUGAACUUGACCCGAUAUGAAGGUGAUGAACCGGCUCUAAUGUGAAGAAAGUUAUUGACAAGAUUAGGGGGGGGGUGAUUGUUGGAACUAAUCUUGUCAUAACUCAAAGUUGGAGGGUGCUAAGUGUUUUAGUUUAUUUUAUUUAGGUUUUCUAAUUCUAGUCUAGGGAUGUUUUCUUGGGCAUCAAGGUUUAUUAGAUAGGUUUAUCUAGUUUGUUUAUUUAUUUUAUUAAUAGAGUUUGAGUCGGGUUAGGACUAGAAUAAGUUUAGUAUAAAUAGAUGAUUAGGGUCAUUGUAAUUAGUGUGCUCUCAUUGAUAAAUUAAUAAAAGAGUCGAACAAGUUUGUUUAUAUUGCAUGUUUGUUUAUUU
RNAcentral lists this long non-coding RNA (1632 nucleotides) under Helianthus annuus (common sunflower). Its description in RNAcentral is "hypothetical non coding rna". Lineage: Eukaryota; Viridiplantae; Streptophyta; Magnoliopsida; Asterales; Asteraceae. The record is from RNAcentral.